This 467-nucleotide ribosomal RNA is filed under the name uncultured Corynebacterium sp. RNAcentral's name for it is "bacterial SSU rRNA". It matches the Rfam family "Bacterial small subunit ribosomal RNA", at positions 916 to 1382 of the family's 1533-position model. Lineage: Bacteria; Bacillati; Actinomycetota; Actinomycetes; Mycobacteriales; Corynebacteriaceae. The record is from RNAcentral.
GGGGCCCGCACAAGCGGCGGAGCAUGUGGAUUAAUUCGAUGCAACGCGAAGAACCUUACCUGGGCUUGACAUACACCAGAUCGGCGCAGAGAUGCGUUUUCCCUUGUGGUUGGUGUACAGGUGGUGCAUGGUUGUCGUCAGCUCGUGUCGUGAGAUGUUGGGUUAAGUCCCGCAACGAGCGCAACCCUUGUCUUAUGUUGCCAGCACGUGAUGGUGGGACUCAUGAGAGACUGCCGGGGUUAACUCGGAGGAAGGUGGGGAUGACGUCAAAUCAUCAUGCCCCUUAUGUCCAGGGCUUCACACAUGCUACAAUGGUCGGUACAACGCGUGUGCGACACUGUGAGGUGAAGCUAAUCGCUCUAAAGCCGGUCGUAGUUCGGAUUGGGGUCUGCAACUCGACCCCAUGAAGUCGGAGUCGCUAGUAAUCGCAGAUCAGCAACGCUGCGGUGAAUACGUUCCCGGGCCUU